CUGGUGUCAGCCGCCGCGGUAAUACCAGCACCCCGAGUGGUCGGGACGAUUAUUGGGCCUAAAGCAUCCGUAGCCGGCCUUACAAGUCCUCCGUUAAAUCCAGCUGCUUAACAGAUGGGCUGCGGAGGAUACUAUAAGACUAGGAGGCAGGAGAGGCAAGCGGUACUCAAUGGGUAGGGGUAAAAUCCGUUGAUCCAUUGAAGACCACCAGUGGCGAAGGCGGCUUGCCAGAAUGCGCUCGACGGUGAGGGAUGAAAGCUGGGGGAGCAAACCGGAUUAGAUACCCGGGUAGUCCCAGCUGUAAACGAUGCAGACUCGGUGAUGGACUAGCUUUAUGCUGGUCCAGUGCCGCAGGGAAGCCGUUAAGUCUGCCGCCUGGGUAGUACGGUCGCAAGACUGAAACUUAAAG
RNAcentral lists this ribosomal RNA (409 nucleotides) under uncultured Nitrososphaerota archaeon. Its description in RNAcentral is "bacterial SSU rRNA". It matches the Rfam family "Archaeal small subunit ribosomal RNA", at positions 452 to 861 of the family's 1478-position model. The record is from RNAcentral. Lineage: Archaea; Thermoproteati; Nitrososphaerota.